RNAcentral lists this non-coding RNA (29 nucleotides) under Rattus norvegicus (Norway rat). The record is from RNAcentral. Lineage: Eukaryota; Metazoa; Chordata; Mammalia; Rodentia; Muridae.
UACUAUUGCAGGACUUCCACUGUAGGAGC